UACGGAGGAUCCGAGCGUUAUCCGGAUUUAUUGGGUUUAAAGGGUACGUAGGCGGGAUGAUAAGUCAGCGGUGAAAUUUUGCAGCUUAACUGUAAGCUUGCCGUUGAAACUAUUAUUCUUGAGUGUAGAUAAGGUAGGCGGAAUGUGUUGUGUAGCGGUGAAAUGCUUAGAUAUAACACAGAACACCAAUUGCGAAGGCAGCUUACCGGGUUACCACUGACGCUGAGGUACGACAGCGUGGGGAUCAAACAGGAUUAGAUACCCUGGUAGUCCACGCCGUAAACGAUGAAUACUCGCUGUUUGCGAUAUAGUGCAAGCGGCCAAGCGAAAGCAUUAAGUAUUCCACCUGGGGAGUACGUUCGCAAGAAUGAAACUCAAAGGAAUUGACGGGGGCCCGCACAAGCGGAGGAACAUGUGGUUUAAUUCGAUGAUACGCGAGGAACCUUACCCGGGCUUGAAAUGCAAUCGACUGACUUGGAAACAGGUCAUCCAGCAAUGGCGAUUGUGUAGGUGCUGCAUGGUU
This 523-nucleotide ribosomal RNA is filed under the name uncultured bacterium. RNAcentral describes it as "bacterial SSU rRNA". It matches the Rfam family "Bacterial small subunit ribosomal RNA", at positions 524 to 1050 of the family's 1533-position model. The record is from RNAcentral.